RNAcentral lists this ribosomal RNA (512 nucleotides) under uncultured bacterium. RNAcentral's name for it is "partial 16S ribosomal RNA". It matches the Rfam family "Bacterial small subunit ribosomal RNA", at positions 29 to 523 of the family's 1533-position model. The record is from RNAcentral.
AACGAACGCUGGCGGCGUGCCUAAUACAAGCAAGUCGAGCGAAUUUUUGGGAGCUUGCUCCCAAAGGUUAGCGGCGGACGGGUGAGUAACACGUGGGCAACCUGCCUAUAAGACUGGGAUAACUUCGGGAAACCGGAGCUAAUACCGGAUAAUUCAUAUCUACUCAUGUAGGUAUGCUGAAAGACGGUUUACGCUGUCACUUAUAGAUGGGCCCGCGGCGCAUUAGCUAGUUGGUGAGGUAACGGCUUACCAAGGCAACGAUGCGUAGGCGACCUGAGAGGGUGAUCGGCCACACUGGGACGGAGACACGGCCCAGACUCCUACGGGAGGCAGCAGUAGGGAAUCUUCCGCAAUGGACGAAAGUCUGACGGAGCAACGCCGCGUGAGUGAUGAAGGUUUUCGGAUCGUAAAACUCUGUUGUUAGGGAAGAACAAGUACUAGAGUAACUGCUAGUACCUUGACGGUACCUAACCAGAAAGCCACGGCUAACUACGUGCCAGCCGCCGCAGUAA